GGGACAGGCAUCUCCUGUGGGUUAUGUGGGGCUGUGCUGUGCACCCUGGGGAUGAUGACUGACCCCCUUUGUGCAGAGACAGAGGAGAUGUUGCUGCACCACAUCCCCAGGAGAGCCCCUGCCUCCUUCUGCUGUCAGGGAUGGGACUGGGAGACGACUAUACGCAGAAAGUAACACUUGCCAUGGCUUCAAUCCCCAGUGGAAGAGGCUGGGCUCCCCACUGCUCAGAGCUCCUGGUUAGGGACACCCACGCCUGCGCCUGGCUCAGAGUCCAGGGUGCACUCAGUCCGGAUCCAGCCUCGAGAUGUUCCUGCUGCAGCUGCAGGUGUUUCCCAGUCCAGCUUGCUGAACCUCCAGCUCUGACUGUGGCACGUUCUUCCUUCCAGCUCUGGCUCUGAUAUGCUGCAUUUGAUGGCUGCUCCAGUUCCUUCCAGCUCUGGCAUCCUUCCAAGCCAUGGUAGCUGGACUCUACUCACAACAGGUCCCGACAGGGUUCACGCUGGUGCUUGCUGAGUUUGGGGAAAUUUGGAAGAUUUUGGAGUGUUUAGGGAGGUUUUCAAAGAAUUUUGAAAGCG
Long non-coding RNA from Oenanthe melanoleuca, 575 nucleotides. RefSeq lists it as uncharacterized. The transcript has 3 exons. NCBI's taxonomy places the organism in Eukaryota, Metazoa, Chordata, Aves, Passeriformes, Muscicapidae. The record is from RefSeq and is a predicted model, not a curated record.